This 515-nucleotide ribosomal RNA is filed under the name uncultured bacterium. RNAcentral's name for it is "partial 16S ribosomal RNA". It matches the Rfam family "Bacterial small subunit ribosomal RNA", at positions 28 to 523 of the family's 1533-position model. The record is from RNAcentral.
GAUGAACGCUGGCGGCGUGCCUAAUACAUGCAAGUCGAGCGAAUGGAUUAAGAGCUUGCUCUUAUGAAGUUAGCGGCGGACGGGUGAGUAACACGUGGGUAACCUGCCCAUAAGACUGGGAUAACUCCGGGAAACCGGGGCUAAUACCGGAUAACAUUUUGAACCGCAUGGUUCGAAAUUGAAAGGCGGCUUCGGCUGUCACUUAUGGAUGGACCCGCGUCGCAUUAGCUAGUUGGUGAGGUAACGGCUCACCAAGGCAACGAUGCGUAGCCGAACUGAGAGGGUGAUCGGCCACACUGGGACUGAGACACGGCACAGACUCCGACGGGAGGCAGCAGUAGGGAAUCGUCCGCAAUGGACGAAAGUCUGACGGAGCAACGCCGCGUCAGUGAUGAAGGCUUUCGGGUCGUAAAACUCUGUUGUUAGGGAAGAACAAGUGCUAGUUGAAUAAGCUGGCACCUUGACGGUACCUAACCAGAAAGCCACGGCUAACUACGUGCCAGCCGCCGCCGCGG